GUUCCUAGUUUUAGAUGUAUGCUCUUUCGAAAAGUUACAAGAAAGAGGUUGAGGUAAAUGACCCCAUUAUUAUCUAUGCUCCUUAUCAAAGCACACACAAUCCCAAAAUGUUUCAGAACCCGUCAAUGAGUUUGUGCCUGGCACCCACCUUUUUUAGUAGGAGAAGAUGCUUUUUCUCAGAAAAGAAAUGCUGAAAAGAUCUGACUGAGAAUCUCAUUUGGAUCUGGGGUGUGGUUGGUUUUUUUCUGGCUGUGCCUCUGAGAGGCAUUUUAAUCCUCUAUUGUUUACUGCUUAGGAAAGCUGAAUUCUGUUUCUGUGGGUGGGAAUAUUCUUUUCAUAUGGAAGCGUUUGCCAUUUGUUGAUCCUAAAAAAUCAAGUGUCCUACAUUAGUGCACAGAGCUCAGUGUUAACAUGUUAAAUAUGCAGCUUGGAAGUACAAGUUACUUUAAGCCUUAUUCCUAGAACUGUUCUCGAUUUCACUGAAGCUCAAGGAAAUAAUGAAGUAAAUAGGAAAAAAAAAAAAAGGCUUUAAUUUGUGUUCUGUAAGGAAGUUGGAGAUGGAAAUAUGUUUGCCAGUGGAAAAGUGUGGAAGUUAACUAUGAUUCUGCCCAAUUUUUUUCCUUUCUGGAAUUUGAUGAUGAAGAAUUAGAUAGGCUCACGAGCUGGAAAUGUGGGGAGAUUUCUAACCAAAUGUGCAACAAUUCAGAAUGGCUCAGCAGCAGUUCAUUUAAUUCCUGGAAAACAAACUGUAAUGGCAUCAGCAUUAAAAACUGGAUAAAAAAUAAACUGUUCAGUAGCUGAGCUCUCCAGCAAGACCAUUUGUAAGCUACUCCUGAUGGGAAGGGCACAGGUUAAAAGGAUUAAGAUUUGCCUUACAGCUUUCAAGUUGUUUCCUACAUGAAGUCAUGUGAUGUUUGCAAUAUGAUUCUUUAGGGAUUAGUACAUCCUCAGCUACUCAGUUUUCAUUGAUGGUUUGGAAUCAAGUUUAAAAUCACAACUUAUUUGAAAAACGUACAAAACAGAGCUGAUGUAAACACUGUUGGGAUGAUGAGAACAAGCUGAUCAUCUGGACAUGGCUUUCUUUUUAGAAGCCCUUCUUUUUUUUAAUUUUUUUUUUUUUCACUUUGUAAAAUGAGCUCAACCUAAUCCAAGGUGACCUUAUUUGAUGUCUGCUAUAAGAAAGAGAGGAAUUUUCUUCUCCUUUUUCGUUGCUCAUGGAGGUAUCCCAGAGGACUAGCUUAGAGUAGGUAAAAGAUGUGCAGGCCAUUGAAGACAGAUGAGAAGAACCUCAGCCUAAGAGAAUUUUCAUAGUUCUUUUGGUUGAGUUGGACUUCUGGAAGUUACCUUCUUCCCCAAGCAGGAAUAUUUUCAAGGCUAGAUAAUGUUGCUCAGAGCCUUGUCCAGAGCUUCUUUUUGUCUGUAAGCAGCAAUAAAGAGCAAGGAAUCUACAUUACCUUCCUUAAUACUUUAGCUAGUAUAUCUUCUGCUGGAAUCAUCAUCUUCUGUAAUUAAUUCGGCCCAAAAAUAGUUUUACCUGAUCAAAUGUAUUGGGAGCUUCCUGGAGAUGUAUUUUAGGGACACAGAAGCAAAUCUGUUAGCAAGGAAAAAGUGUGCACCUAAAUAUGAGCAGCAAAUAUGCAAAUUCUCCCCCCAAAGAGCCAGAAAACCUAAUUAAGAGCUAUUAUCCAUCAGCACCACUCUGUCCAAGGCUCUUGGCUAUUUGCAGCGCCAAUGACAGAGCACAUUCUCAAUCACCAUGUAGCACUUGGAAGUCCACCAAAGGAAAUCGGCACUUUUCCUGUUGCUUAGCUGGCUAAACUGGAUUUUAGAACAGUUCAGUUCUACUGACUGUGUUAAAUGUGAGCAAUGACCUUCUGGGACAGCAGAACUUUUGUAGUGGUGGCUGGUGUUAUUUAUGAAAGCUAAAGUAAAGAAAUAGCUGAAAGCAAGGAGUCUCAAACUCUGGACUCCAGACUCCUGAGGGAUUGUGGAUUGCUCGUGAAACUUCAACUGCAACAGGGAGGAGAACAAGUUUAUUGUCAAGGGGCUUGAUUAUCCAUCUGUUGUUGGUAGGGAUCAUCCGUGUGUUAGAAAAUGUGUAUGGAGAUUAAAAUUGUAAGCAGUUGAAAGCCAUUGAUGUGGCAUUGUGGAGAGGAACAAAAGUUUAGUAGCUUGGUUUCCCAAAGGCUAGAUUCUCCAUCUCUACAAGCAGAGACACAAAGGUUUGAAGCACUGGCCUUCUGAGAUAUCUUGGAUUCCCUCGGGGUGUGUAAUGUGCAAAUACAUCGUUGGCUAGAAGCUGCUGGGUGUAACAUACAAAAGUAAAUAGAUACAACACUGAAAAACUAAAACAGUGUUUGUUUGCUUGUUUGUUUUUGGGAAAUAAUUUACUGUGAAGAAAUUGGCUGGACCAAUGCUGGAGUUCAAACUGGUGAUCUCUUUCUCUGACUGUAUCUUUUUCUCUGUCUUCCCUUCCUCCAUCUCUCUCUUUUGUUUCUUUUUCCUUUGUAAAGGUAUGUUGUUAUUUGUAAAGGUACUUUGUUAAGUAAUGCAAAGUUUCAAUGUCUUAGAAAGUCAUAUAAUUUAGCUGCACAUCCUAAAUAGAUAUAGUUGUAAGAGUGCCGAUACUUUUAAGAUAAUUGCAGUACAGAAAUUCUCAUUCAAAUUGAUGAUUGUGUCCGGACCUUGAGUGCCAGUUUCAUGUUAAUCUAACCAGGGGGAUUUUGCAAAUCUGGUCACCCAUCUCUCCCUUUACAGGCAGAAUGUGACAACCACCAAACUGGUUCCAGGCUUUCUGCAACUGGCCUGAUGAGUCUUAAGGCAAAAAUAAAUAAAUAAAAGAAUGUGAGAGAUGUAUAUGAACAGCACAGGAAAGGUGAAUAUUCAUCCUCUGUAAUAUUGUUUUAUAGAUGAUGCUUCAUUAUAUUACAAAGAGCAACUAUUCACCUUUUCUUAUGCAGUCGAAGGAUCAGGAUGUCAGCACCAACUAGAGGGCAGACACCAGACAAGAUAACUUCUCUAGGCAGUGCAUAUUUGAAAGGAGGAGAUCAGCAUCAGAAGAUGUUUUGGAAACCAGAAUUAAACAUAAAUUUAAAAAGGAUGGAUUACUGAAAGGGAGCAAGUCCCAGCAAGGGCUGUUGAACACAAUGAUAGGAAUGCAACCUCUCUUUCAAAAAAGCCCUUAAGCUGCAGAUGGCUGGGCUGAAGGUUAUGGUUCUCCUCUUCCUUCUCACAGCAUUGGCUGCUGCCAGAGGAAGGAUAGCAGGCUAGUUGAAACUUUGCUCUUUUUUCCCCAGUUGACUCUUCUUGUGUUCUAAGUAGUGCUAGCCUGCAUAUAGGUGAAAUAGUGCUAAGUAGUCUGGCUAAUCAUGCACAGCACUCUGUAUAGUCUCAGGCCUUUUAGAUCCAGGUCUGUGCUGGAUGUUAUUUAGGGUGUUAGCAUAUAAUUGUGCUGCAGCCUUUCCUCUGAGCCUUGUCUCCAUACAGUAUGAACCUGAGACUCUCCUUCCACAACCAGGUCUCUUCAGGCUCAAGGUGCAGGAGCUGGCCCAAGCUGAGGGGCAGGUUGAGGCAGAUGAGAAGAAGAAAGGGGAGAGGGAUGAUGAUGUAGCUGGAGCAGUGCUGUGUGGAUUAUUAGGCCUGCGGCUUUGCAGUCUGACUGCUUUCAAAUGAAAGCAUUUUUUUAGUUUGUUCCAGGUUUAAGCCAGAGAUAAACAGGAAAUUAAUGAUACCAGUGCCAUUAUUGACUCCUUCCUUAUUAUUUCUGUUCUGUGCUUUAAAAAUGGUAACCUAACCUGCAAGCAGAUGAGACAGUGCACAGCAGACCUUCAGAAUUACUAGGACUCUGAAAUAAGCUGCAUGUGUUUGAAAUACUGAAAAAGCUGUUAGUAUCUUUCCAUUUGUGUUUCAGAGCAGAAUUAAGGACCCCUGUACAUGAUACAGAUGUCACCGAAAGAAGGCUGCACACUGUUGUUUUUCUUGCACUCAGACCCUACCUGGUGCAUCUCACAGACUAACUCAGGCCAUUUGUCACAGUGAUGGACCCCCUGGAGACACCAGGAAGCCCUGCACAAGCUGCAGUUUGUACCUUCCUCGUUUGUACAAUUUUCAGAUAAGCCACAGUGCAUAAUCCUUUUGUCAUCUGUUCUCAGCCUAUACACAUGUAUGGGGCUGCUGAAUCACAGCCUGAACCUCUGAUUGAUCACUUGAGGCAAGCAAUAAGUCAGCCACGGGUGCACAGGUGAAGGCAAUUCACCUGUGCUGCAGAAAGGAGUGGAGCCUGGCUUCACCUCUCCUAAACCCAUGUAAGAGCUGGCUACCAGUGGGGAAGGAUCCCUUCUGGAGAUCUGCUCCACCUGAGUUUCCCACAUGAGCUCAGGGUAGGGUUCUCUUUUGAUCAGACAAGUAAGUUCCAGGAAAUCCAUUAAUUGUCAUACAACUUUGAGGCAUGUUUUUUGUGAACGUUACCUUGGUGCUUUUAAAAAGCACUGUUAUUUCUCUCAGUACAAUCAACCUAGAGUCAACUUCAUGUUACUCUUGCUUGCCCCACAGAUGUGACUUCAGGUUUCUGAUAGCCCAAGUGGGACAGGGCUAUGUGUGGGACCUGUAUCUCUGACACUCCCGUCCCCCUGUCAGAAAUCCUCAAGGCUUAUCUAAGAGAAGAAGCUCUUCUGUAAUAACCUAAUGAGGCUGUGUGUUCCUGUGGAAGCCAGCAGGACCCCAGCUUCACCCUGUGCCUUGGGCUGAUGCUGUUCUCUGGAGCAGCUGUGUUGUGGCUCUGCCUCCCCCAGCUGUGAGCUCCUUCCAGUCUGUAGCCCGGACUCCUGCUCACAGCUCCCUUCCCAGGCUCUCUGCAUCAUCUGCUUUCCUUCUGCUCUUCCUUCUGCAUCAGCAAGUCAUGCAAAGGAAAACCCACAUUACUGUUUUGGUGUUCUGUUUAACUUUGGUUCAGUGGAGAGAAAGUAGAGCAUCCUUUGUGCAGAAGAGAAAUAGGGCAGUCUUCAAUGCGCAUCCCCUUCAUGGAUAGUGUCAUUCCAGGCGUUUGCUUCUUGUGCUUCUUUUCUCUGGCCUUCUUGAUUUGUAGUGCAUUUUAAGUUUACUGAUACAUAAAGAAGUGUGAUUGUUCUUCCACUGUUCAAGAGGACUUUUGGCUGCUCCAUUCACAGAGUGCUUCUAAGGCACUCUGGGUGCUUCUUUUAAUUCCAGUUAAGCCUUGGACUCUUGGUACACAGCACAAGACAGAAUCUAAUUAUUGAAAUAAUUAUUAUUGCCUUCUGUGCCUCAUUGUGGUUUUUAAAACCCUGAGCCACAUUUGGAGUCCCAGCUCUGGUCCCUGCUGGCACCAACGGGCAGUGAUUGCAGUCUGUCAGCCCAGGAACAACGUGACUGCACUUACCUACAAUGAGUUACUCAUUUAAAAUUAUCCUGGUAUAUUUUUGACUCUGAAAAGAAUAUAUGACAGCAGAAAGCUUUUCACUCUUCAAUUAGUGCAUUGUGAUUUCAGUGGCUGCUUCUUUGAGAAGAUGGUAUGUCUGGCAAUUUAAAAGUGAAGGUAUAGAAGAUACUAAUAAGAAGAUAUUAAGUGUCAUCUUAAGUGUUAAAAUUUUUUCAUUCAGACGUUAUUUAUAUGCAGCACCUUUAGUUCUAGCUUCACUGAAUCCUCAUUACCAUUCUUUUAGUCUGUGCUGAGAACUAUGAGGGCUGCUCUGAAAGUAGUGCUGCCUCCUUCAUUAUGUCUACCCAUGACAUCAGAGGCAGAUGGUGGUGGUAUGACAUAGAGGCUGAACCUUCCCACUAACAUUGCAUUACGUGGUGUUGCCGUGUGGCAGAUGGCAGCAGGGGGACAGUCAGCAAAAUGGUCUCUGAUGUGGAAGGGCGUACGAAGAAAAGAUGUGCCACUGAAUUCCUCCAUGUGGAAAAGACUGCAUGCAUUGACAUUCAUCAACACUUUGUGCACUUGAUAGAGACCAAACAGUGCACAUGAACACAGUGAGGCACUGGGUGGUGCAUAUCAACACUGAUGAAAUGAAAAACAAGCCACCUUUCAGAUGGCUGUGCAUAGCUGUCACACCAUAAAACGAAGAGUGUUUCGAUCAGUUCUUCAGCACGAAUUAGCAGAUUACAAGCAAUGCUUUCAUGCUUUGGAAACGAUUAUGGCAACACUGGAAUAUUACAAAGUUUGCUCCCAGUGGGUCCCACGAAUGCACACACAGGAACAGAAGAGGCACCGUAUGCAAGUCCUGUCAGAAUCUGUUGAUCCAGUGUGAGGCUGAAGGUAACAGUUUCCUGGAUCACAUCAUUAAUGGUGAUGAGAUGUGGUGUCGUCUCUACAAGCCAGAUUCAAAACAGAAGUCUGCAGAAUGGCAGUGUGAGUUCCCUAUCAAAGAAAAACUUCAAGAUUCAGCCCUCAGCAGGAGCGUGUUUUGUAGCUGAGAGUUUGCUCUUUCAAAUAGCAUUAUUGUGCUCUAUCUGUUGUAAUUUCCAUGGGAGUAAAUAGUUUGGUUCCUGAAAGGUUUUAAAUUAUGUGUGGGUUAGUAUAUGUAUUUGCUGUGUUUAAAGAUGUUUUCAAUAUAUGUAUUUGACAGGAAACAAAUUUUCAUAUAUCCUCUUUUCCAGUGAAACCAGAAUGUUUUGAACUUUUCUGCAUUCUCAGCCUUUUCUUAGUGGUUAAAUUAGAAUAGCAAAUGUUUUAAUUGGUUGUAAAGGUGUAUAUGAGUAGAAUAAUCAAAAGGUUGAGCAAGAAGGUGAGGACAGAGAUCCAAAUCCAUCAUGUCUGGAUUUAACGUCCAAGCGUCUGUCAAAUUGGAAUCUGGUUAUGAAAGGUUGAAUGUGGGGAGCAUGUCUUUUUCCUGUGUAAGGCGAGUAUGGCAAUGUGGAGAUUAAGAUAUUUUUUUUUAGGAACUGUACUGUAGCUUUCUCUGUUAAACUAAUUACAGUCAUUUAGAAACCAUCUUGCAUAGUCCACAUAACUGGUUCUAGGCUGCUACCAACCCUCAUUGCUGGCUCUUUUGCCCUGCUGCAUCAGGCUGUAGAUAGUUUUUGAGCACCACACCAAUAAAAAGCUUUACAAGAGGGUAUUUGCCCUGAUUUCUUUGACUUAAACUCAAAUCCAAGUUGCUUCUACUUAUACAACUGUAAACACUGCUCUGAGUUUUAGGACAGUCACACUAUAUCAGAAGAGUGGCAGGGAGAGUUUGAACUAAUAAACUAAGUUUACUUAGUAUUGCACAAAGGCAGCCUUAUCAAAUUAUCCACAUUUGUUGCAUCAUAUAUAAAAUGUGCCAUUUGGAGCUGCUCACGCAAUUUCAGCAAAAGCUGCACUGAGCAACAUUAGCAUAUAAUUUAAAAUGAGGCCUUGGACAUUUUUACUCCCUAAUGAUAAAAAAAAUAUGUAUUGAUUCUUGAUUUGUGCAAUAAUGUGAUUGCAGUGGAGAUAAUCGAAUCAUAUCUGGUGGAGGAUUUCGAAGGAGCACUCACAGCUCAGCAUCCAGGGGUGGCAGGAUACACGAGUGCCAUCUUCUGCUUCUGGAAAGUUUCACCCAUACAGUUUUCUGUUUUACAUGGGGCUUUCCCCAUGUAGAUUUCAUUUGAAUAAGUAAAGUGAAAUGAAAUGACAAAUUAGUAAGGAAAAAAAUGGCAUAUUCGUCAUGUGUGGCACAGAGAAAGCAGUACACCUCUCUUUAAUGCAAAUGAUAUUUUCACUUACUGAUGGAAUUGAGGUUCUGUCAAUGAAAGGAAGUAACCUUACAACUUAACAUUAAUUAUCAGCAUCUCAUAGUGAUCUUCCUGAGCUUUGUCACUGAUCUUUUAAUAUAUUUGCAUCGUGACAAGUGACUCAGCUUUUUUGCGCUGUAGUAAAACAGCUUUUCACAUCAACUCAAAUUUACAGGCAGAAGGAAUGUUGCUAGAGAGGGACAUGGCUUUAUUUACUCUGUGUUUUUCUGACAGCGCUGUGUGGAUUAGUCAGAGUCCACAUCCAGUUAUGUGAUACACUGCAGAGUCUGAGCAGGUCUCAGUAUUUUCUGUCCUUCCCAUCUUUAAAGCACAAGCAUCCUUGAGUUCCACCUUUUCUGUAGGGAGCCCUGUGUCUCUUCAGGUAAUAUAAAAGCAGAGAUUCUGUAAUUGCAGCCAACAGUGUCCUAGUGGCUGUCUUGAUUGUACCUUAACUCCUUGGGGGUUAAAGUAUGUUUGUUCUUUUCAGCUUUGCUGCAAAAAAAAAACCAAAAAUUAUUAAGAACAUAGAAAUAUUGGUUUCAAUCUUUUUCUUUUUUCCUGCUGCUUUUUGUUCACAGCCCAUAGAACACCACCAUCUGCAUAUCAUAAUGGGGAGAAUUAGUAGAACUUUGUUUUAGAAAGGGCACACAACCACAGGUCUGAACUACCCUGAACCUUGAGAUAAGAUCAGAGCUGAACUUUGUUUCAAGUACCUCUCUGUUUUUCUAUUAAUAAUAAACUAGUUACAUAUACACUGGUUUGUAGAUCAGAUGAAAGAGAUAUUUCAUCAUCAAUAUCUGGAGCAUCUAACAUUUAUUAGGAAAUAGCUUAUAUUGGUUUAAUUCCAUAGUAUGCAUUAAUCAGUAACACUAGAUAUAAUUAAGCAUGUUUUGUUGUAGGCACAGUAUUCUACCAGCUCUGUCUCACUGUUCUGCAUCUAAAAUCCACAUCCCCUUCAAGUGUUCGAAGUUUCAGUAGAGUAUGGCAGCAACUCUAGGCAGUAAAAUACAUCGCUUAUCCUGCUGCUGUGAUUGUAUAAACAUGCAGUUGUUUUCAACUCGUAGUUUGCUUAAAAUGUGUUUUCCUUGCAGUAGGGGUGAUCAUUUUUCUCCAUGACUUCUUCAUCACCAGGCUAGUUGCUAAAAGGCUUUGGUCACCAUCAGGACAGAGGACAGUUCUGCUAAGCCAGGUGCUUUGAAUUUUGCAUUCCUAAGAGUUAGCAAAUUGCUAGAGUCCCUGCAGGAAGUCUGUGACUAAGCAUCCAGUUGUGUUUGUGUCCAGCAGAGAUUAGAGUCUUCAAGGGAAAGCUGGAUGUUUUUUCUGAAUCUGGUACCUCCUCUGGGAAAGCAGUCCUAAAGACUUGUAUUAAACUGGGCUUCAAAUUUGGCUUAGGUAAAACCUGCAUUAUAUGUGAAAUACAAGGAAGCUUCUUAAAGUGAUUGAAAAUAUGACUACAUAUGGUUACUGCAGAAACACAUGCUGAAAUAAGCCCUGGUACAUGGCUCAUUCCUCUGGUUCCAGCUCACCACAUCAGAGUUUUAGCAUAUCCCAGGAAGUGCAUGUUUCCUCCGAAUGCCUGGGAGUCUUUGGAAGUUCGUAGCACAGACUUUCUCUGUGGAAAAUAUCUGCUGCUCAGCACAGCAAGCUCCUUGGCUAGUGGAGGGUGCUGUAGAAAGUACAUUAACACUUUGAGUUUCUAAGCAAGUCCAUAGCAUCAACACUGUGGAAUAGCUACACAGUGAGUAUAGGAAUAUAUAGAAAUGCAUUAGAUUGGGAAAGAUGGUUCACAUGGGUCCCAGUCUUACAAAGUACUUCACUUAACCCUCAUGUGCAAUAUUUAAAGCAUUAUCAGUAAAUUGCAUGCUCAAACUUUAACUGCUUUACUGAGCUAAGGCAUAAAUAAGUGCAUGAAGAGAAAUUCUAGAGUAGAGAAAUUGUCAAUUUUGCAAUGACUUUCAUCCAUCUUAAGUAGUGUUUUAAAGAGAAUUCAAAAAUCAGUUCUAAAAAUGCCAGCUUUAAGUAAUCUCUGUGUAACGCAGGUGGUCACAUAGCUCAUUUUAAACGAAGCACAAAUAAAAUAAACUGCAUUUAAAUAUACUGAUUGUAUUCUUACAAUUAAUACAGGUAUAUAAUAUUAAAUUGAAAGUCCUGCCUAAGUAAGGAUCUGCAAAUCAUUAAGCCAGGGUGGUUAAAAAAAAAAAAAGCCAAGAGAAGGGGAGACCUCAUAGCAGCAUUCCAGUACCUAAAGGGGCCUACAGUAAAGCUGGAGGGGGACUCUAUCAGAGACCGUAGAGGCAGGAAAAGGAGUGAUGUCUUUAAAGUAUAAGAGGAUAGGUUUAGAUUAGAUACUAGGAAGAAAUUCUUCACUAUGAGGGCAGCAAGGCCCUGGCACAGGCUGCCAAGAGCGCUGUGGAUGCCACAUCCCUGACCCUGGGCAGAUUGAUCUGCUGGGGGCAGCCCUGCCCAUGGCAGGGGGGUGAAAUUAAAUGGGCUCUAAGGUGCCUUCCAACCCAAACCAUUCUAUGACUCCAUGAUUCUGUUGGCUGCAAGGACAGAAAAUAUGAAAGGAGUGGAAUAACCAGUGGUGCUUGUGAAGAAAUAAGUUAUGCCUUGCUGAUAGUUGCUGAUCUAGUAAUGUUUUGUUUCGUUUUUUGAAGUUUAUAACUAUUUCUGUAACUGUAUCUCAUCAGCAAAGUGUUUUAAAAGAGAGAAAAGGCUAGUAGGAGAUAGAGAACUCUGAUAGAACUCUGCAAGAAAGAAAUAUCUCUAUUGUAAUACCUGAGUAAAAGAAGGUAGAAAUAAAUUGCCAGUUUUCCUAAUGGAGGAAUAAUUUUAUUAGGCUUCCUAGACACUUUUUUUUUUUUCUUUUCUUUUCUUUUUUUUGGGGGUGUCACAAACAGAGCAAAUAGCAGCUUGGCAAAAUUUACUGACAGCGAACUGAAAAUGUGCCAAUAAUCUCAUAAUAGGAAGUGCUUGAGUGAUAAAACAGCCAGUGGCAUUUCAGUGCCACUAACUGCAGAGUCAUGCAGUUUGCUGUGUAUGUAUACAAGUGCUUUGCAUACAUGACAACAGGAUCCAGAUUCGUUCUUUCCGUUCUUUUUGCAGAUUUGACGUUAAGAUGAAGCUAGAAGAUGUAGGCACUUGGAAGAUGUUGUGUACAGCUGUGAGAAAAUGGAUGUGCCAUUUCAUCUCUGCAUGCCUCUCUUACCCUGCAGUCCCUGUGGUCUAUUUAGAGUGUAUGCUCUUCUGAACUGGAGUCUUUUUUUUUUUUUUUUGGAGAGGUAAAUAUACUGUGUGAAACAGUGGAGUGGCAAUUCUGUCAUCUCCUCUAGGGAUUGCUGUGAAAUGAGAUCUAAAAAAGUUACACAUUGCUUAUACAUUGUGUUAUUUAUUAGCAUAUUAACUUCACUAUAUAUGGCAAUGUACAUAUAGAGAUCAUGGAGGUCAGUAUCCUAAAGAUCCAACUCUAGUUUUGAAGACUCAACACACUCAAGAGACCUGACACAAACAGUAGUAUAUGAAAGAUUCAUUGAAUUUCUGUGUUACAGAAUUCAGUUGAAAGCAAAAACAGCUGGGAAGCCAUUGGUAGGGCAGUACAGCAGACAUGCUUACUACAUGACUUAUAUUGGACUUCAUUUGGCAAUUACAUUUAUUUGGUGUAUAAAACAAAAAUGAAAACAAAUGUAGGGAGAAAUGUAAUGCAAAACAUUUUGUACUGAAAAAUUACCUAGUAGAUAUUACAUGUUUCCCCCAUUGAAGAUUCCUCAGUUUUUGUGGAAGCUGUCUGUGCUCAUAAUCAGUAACUAAUUUUUGAGUCAUUGCACAAAUGAGAAAUAAUUUUAAAGCUUAAAUGUCUGUCCAUAGAGUCCAGUUCCAGUGAUGACCAGCUACAGCAGUGUAUAUCAAGGCAGUAGUGUGCCUGGCUGAUUGACAAAAAGCACUGGUCAUAACUGACACACUCAUCAUUCAUUCUGGGAUUCAUUCAUCCUUUUAUCUCAAUAGCAGUAUCUCAUCUAAUUAAGUUAGCAAGAAAAAAAUGUGGCAGACAGUUUAUUAACGUGUGAAAAAUUGCUGCUUGAUGAAGAUAUGUUGUAAGACAGGUAAAUAUUCUGCUCACUAGCCAAUUAAUAUUCACAGUGUGCAUUUCAUGCUGAGAUCAGAGCUAGAAAGAAUUGACUGUUUUUCAGAAUUCCUCAGUGUGUGUGUGUGGGUUUUCAUCAAGAUACUCUUGCACAGCUGAUUACUGAAAAUGUGUUGUCACUAUCAAUUACCAAAGCGGCUGCUUUUACCUGCCUUAUGCAGUACAUCACACUGUUGUAAAAUAGCUGGUCAUGCAGAGAUUCAAGAAAUGAGUUCCAGACAUGAAGGAGCAAAAUGAGAAUUGAAAAAAGUAUUUAUGGUAUAUGUGUUGGAAGAGAUGUCUGAAUUAGUCAAGGAAUUGGCACCGGCGAUAGCAGAAUCAAUCGCGCAGGGUGGGUGAGGCUGUAAGGGAUUUCUUGGGAUCAUCUAUCCAACCUUUGUGGAUAACCUGUGCCAGUGUUUGACCCCUUUCACAAUGAAAAUUUAAAAAAAAAAAAAAAAGAAAAGAAAAGAAAAAGAAAAAGAAAAAGUGUUUUCUUGAGUGCAGAUGCGUUUUAAUGUGUGCAAAUUACCUUUUCUUCUGUCAGUGGGCACUACAAAGAGACUGGUUCCCUUCCUUCAUGUAUGCCCACUGUUGAGACCCCCCUGAGCCUUCUCCAGGCUGAGCAGUCACUUCUC
Long non-coding RNA from Tympanuchus pallidicinctus (lesser prairie-chicken), 12471 nucleotides. RefSeq lists it as uncharacterized. The record is from RefSeq and is a predicted model, not a curated record. The transcript has 4 exons. Lineage: Eukaryota; Metazoa; Chordata; Aves; Galliformes; Phasianidae.